CUAUGAGUCAAUGGAAAAUCUUUCCAAUCAACUACUUGUACGCUAAUGGCGUAAUGUAUAAUUGGAAUUGAAUUAUUUCUGGAUUUACAAAGAAAAACAGCAAGACUUGCCGCAGCCAAAAGUAUAUCAACCGCUUUUAUAGCUUCGCAAAAGAAAGAAUCAUCAUCCUGGACAAUCAAGAACCAAUGGAUCAGAUUUUCUUUCACCAAAACAUUUUUGUAUGCAUUGAAAAAGAAGUCAAAGUUACUUCUAUGAAAGAAUUACGAAACUUCUUAAUUUCUGUUAUCGUAUUUUGUUGGAGAUAGUUCUUGAUCGAUAAAAAAAGAGGCUAUACGCGAAGCGUGUGACGUACAGUAUGAAGAAAAGAAUUGUGAAGCUGUGACAGAUGAAUGUCCAAAAAAUAAUCUUUUAUAGGACCAAAUCUUUCUGUAAUAAUUGGAGCAUUUAAACCCGCAAAAAUUGUCGGUAUUCCCAGAGGUUUGAAAAAACUUGUUUCCUCAAAAAUGAAGAGUCUACGGUACACAGAACUUAUAUAUUAUAUUAUAUAGAAAUCCUUGGAAUGCGCCACUUCUGAGUCUAUUAAAAGUCUUUACAAUCAAUUACUUACCAUACAUGGCAGUAGUGUAAUAUAAAUUUGAAUGGAAUUAUUUCAGGACUUAGAAAGGUAUCAUAAUCGGAUAUAUGUGUAAUCGUCUUUAAUAUGAAUGGGUUUUUGAUAUAAUUGUACUUUGGACGGCUCAUGCUUCCUUAUCGAGUGCCUCUUUGUCAAGAGCUAACAAAGUUUCAUUUCAAUUUAAUCUCGAUAUCGUUCUUUGUUUUAUUUCAAUAAUCGAUUCGUUUACCCUUUCUCUCUCCCUCUCUCUCUAUAUAUAUAUAUAUAGUAUAUAAUACAUAACAGAAAUGAGUAACUAAGGGUUUACAAAAAAACAUUAUCAUAUACAUAUUCAUAUACGCCUCAAUGCAAUUAC
Long non-coding RNA from Vespula vulgaris, 968 nucleotides. RefSeq lists it as uncharacterized. The record is from RefSeq and is a predicted model, not a curated record. The transcript has 3 exons. Lineage: Eukaryota; Metazoa; Arthropoda; Insecta; Hymenoptera; Vespidae.